This 774-nucleotide ribosomal RNA is filed under the name uncultured bacterium. RNAcentral describes it as "bacterial SSU rRNA". It matches the Rfam family "Bacterial small subunit ribosomal RNA", at positions 63 to 798 of the family's 1533-position model. The record is from RNAcentral.
CGAGCGAGUCUGCCUCAAGAUCGGAGUGCUUGCACUCUGUGAAACAAGAUACAGGCUAGCGGCGGACGGGUGAGUAACACGUGGGUAACCUGCCCAAGAGAUCGGGAUAACACCUGGAAACAGAUGCUAAUACCGGAUAACAACAGAUGAUGCCUAUCAACUGUUUAAAAGAUGGUUCUGCUAUCACUCUUGGAUGGACCUGCGGUGCAUUAGCUAGUUGGUAGGGUAACGGCCUACCAAGGCGAUGAUGCAUAGCCGAGUUGAGAGACUGAUCGGCCACAUUGGGACUGAGACACGGCCCAAACUCCUACGGGAGGCAGCAGUAGGGAAUCUUCCACAAUGGACGCAAGUCUGAUGGAGCAACGCCGCGUGAGUGAAGAAGGGUUUCGGCUCGUAAAGCUCUGUUGUUGGUGAAGAAGGACAGGGGUAGUAACUGACCUUUGUUUGACGGUAAUCAAUUAGAAAGUCACGGCUAACUACGUGCCAGCAGCCGCGGUAAUACGUAGGUGGCAAGCGUUGUCCGGAUUUAUUGGGCGUAAAGCGAGUGCAGGCGGCUCGAUAAGUCUGAUGUGAAAGCCUUCGGCUCAACCGGAGAAUUGCAUCAGAAACUGUCGAGCUUGAGUACAGAAGAGGAGAGUGGAACUCCAUGUGUAGCGGUGAAAUGCGUAGAUAUAUGGAAGAACACCGGUGGCGAAGGCGGCUCUCUGGUCUGUUACUGACGCUGAGGCUCGAAAGCAUGGGUAGCGAACAGGAUUAGAUACCCUGGUAGUCCAU